AUGGCCAGAGCCAGACUCCCUCUUGCCGCUUGCGUCGUCGCGUUCCACCUCUGCCUUCUCCUCUGUCCGACCUCCUCUCUCCGCCGGCUCCCCGAAGCAGAGAGCGUGGCGGCCCGCCAUGGCGGGAGCAGCAGGACGGCCUACCACUUCCAGCCAGCCAAGCCCUGGCAGAACGAGAGCGUGGCAGUCCGCCAUGGCGGGAGCAGUAGGACGACAGGCUACCAUUUCCAGCCCGCCAAGAACUGGCAGAACGAUCCGAAUGGGCCGAUGUACCACAACGGAGUGUACCACCUCUUCUACCAGUACAACCCACUGGGUGCGACAUGGGGCAAGGGCAACCUCUCUUGGGGGCAUUCGGUCUCCCAGGACCUUGUAAACUGGGCCGCCCUCGAAACUGCGAUUGACCCUACCGCCCCCUUUGACGCCAAUGGUUGUUGGUCAGGCUCGGCCACAAUUCUCCCUGGGGGCGUCCCAGCCAUGCUCUACACCGGCGGCGACGCCGACCGCGUGCAGGUGCAGAAUAUCGCCUUCGCCAAGAACCCCGCCGACCCGCUGCUCCGCGAGUGGGUGAAGCCCGCCUACAACCCCGUCAUCCCGCACCCGGCUGACGUCCUCUUCAACCAGUUCCGCGACCCUAGCACUGCAUGGGUAGGCAGCGAUGGCAUGUGGCGCAUCCUCGUCGCGGCCCAGGUCGGCAGCAACAACACGGGCAUUGCCUCCACGCUCGUCUACCGGAGCAAGGACUUCCGGCAUUGGGAGCGGAACGCCUCACCGUUGUACACAUCGCGCGCCGCCGGCAUGGUCGAGUGCCCAGACCUGUUUCCGGUGGCGGAGCCCGGCAUGGACGAGGGACGCCUCGACUACGCGGCCGGUACGGCGAGUGGUGCCAUGAGGCACGUGCUGAAGCUGAGCGUGAUGAACACGACCGAGGACUACUACGCGGUUGGGCAGUACGACAACGUGGCAGACACCUUCACGCCGGAGGUGGACGGCGAGCGCAUCAUCGAGGACUGCCGGACGUGGCGCCGCUUCGACUACGGCCAUGUGUACGCAUCCAAGUCCUUCUUCGACGCGCGCAAGAACCGGCGUGUGCUGUGGGCGUGGGUGAACGAGUCCGACAGCGAGGACGACGACAUCGCCAGAGGCUGGUCCGGCCUUCAGAUUGUUCCAAGGAAGGUGUGGCUUGACGGUGACGGGAAGCAGCUGCGCCAGUGGCCGGUUGAUGAGAUAGAGACACUGAGGACCAAAAGGGUCGGCCAUCAGUUGGUUGGACUGCACGUCAACACCGGUGGGGUGAAGGAGAUCACCGGCGCGGGCGCACAGGCGGCCGUGGAGGUCGUCUUCCAGAUCCCAGACUUGGAAGGGGCCGAGACCUUCGAGCCCAAGUGGCUGCUGGACCCUCAGAAGCUGUGUGAGGAGAGAGGCGUGUCCGUGCCAGGCGGGGUCGGCCCGUUCGGGCUGCUCGUCAUGGCCUCCGGCGACCUGCGGGAGCACACGUCUGUAUUCUUCAGGGUGUUCAGACGCAGCGACAACUACAGAAUCCUCAUGUGCACCGACCUCACAAGAUCCACUCGGAGAGACAAAGUGUACAAGCUGGCGUAUGGAGGAUUUGUAGACAUGGACAUGGAGGAGCAAGGGAGCACCAUAUCUCUCAGAACACUGGUUGACUAUUCGGUGGUGGAAAGUUUCGGAGGCGGGGGGCGGACAUGCAUGACUGCAAGGGUGUACCCUGAGCACGCAGAGAAGAGCAACAGUCACGUGUUCGUUUUCAACAAUGGAACCGGCGGCGUGAAGGUGACCAGGCUUGACGCUUGGAGGCUGAAGACAGCGACCGUGAACGUGGUGCCAUUACGCGGAUGA
Molecule: ribosomal RNA, 1860 nt
Filed under: Triticum aestivum (bread wheat)
Lineage: Eukaryota; Viridiplantae; Streptophyta; Magnoliopsida; Poales; Poaceae
Description: partial small subunit ribosomal RNA
Source: RNAcentral